Limulus polyphemus (Atlantic horseshoe crab) is the source of this 515-nucleotide long non-coding RNA. RefSeq lists it as uncharacterized. The record is from RefSeq and is a predicted model, not a curated record. NCBI's taxonomy places the organism in Eukaryota, Metazoa, Arthropoda, Merostomata, Xiphosura, Limulidae. The transcript has 3 exons.
GUAUUCUUCACCAGUUGUAAAACAGCUAGUCAUCGCCAUUAAGUUUUAGUAGUGUCAAGUUGAAAUUUCCAUCGACAUCAUGCAGAAACUGUUUGUUGUAGCCCUGUUUGCUGCUGCCCUUUGCCUCGCCUUUGCUGAUAAAGAAAAGGAAAAGACGUACGUCUACGGCAAUCCACUGUAUUCCAACCUCUACAAUCAUCCACUCUACAGUCCCUAUGUCUACAAUCCUCUAGUUCCUAGGGCUGACGUAAAACCAGUGGAGUACAAGUAUACUGGCUACAACACUUAUAACCCUCUCUACCACGGUCUUUACUACCCCGGAUAUUACUACCCACGUUAUGGCAUCUAAAUUCAAGAAGAUAUAGAUGACUAACAAAAUGGCGAUACUGACCAACAAGUAUUGAUCCCGAUUUGUAGACUUCGACAUGGCAAUGACUAGAGGACCUUUUCUCUCUUCAUACCCGGGUGUUUUCAUUAUUCUUGUUUUCAUGUUGUGUAUUUCAUGUUUGAUUUCU